This is a long non-coding RNA of Sapajus apella (tufted capuchin), 1759 nucleotides long. RefSeq lists it as uncharacterized. The transcript has 2 exons. NCBI's taxonomy places the organism in Eukaryota, Metazoa, Chordata, Mammalia, Primates, Cebidae. The record is from RefSeq and is a predicted model, not a curated record.
GGCCGCCAGCACGGCGCGGAGGUGGGCUUGCGGCGGCGGCGCAGGAGAGGUCACCGCGGUGGCAUUCCUCUCCGCGCUGUUUACGUGACUUAAUGUACUCGCUGCGCCGCGGCCUGUUAUCUAGGCCACCCAAUGACCGACGAAAGAUCUUCCCUCCCUGCUUCUCCCGUGGCCGCUUUAAACCAAAUAAAUUUAGCUAUUAAGGGCCAAGAUGUCUGACAAAAGAUCGAAAGGUGUCUUUCCGUGAUCGCUUAAAGAAGCAAAGGAGAAGCUCGCGGCUCCCAAAUCCCGAUAAAGAAAUUCCGCGCCGGCGCCGGCCUCCCUCCCCGCGGCCUGGUUGCUCCCUGACGCCCUGAGACCCCGACUUCGGCGGCCGCAGACCCCUGAGGGGCCGGGCGGGACCCGUGGCCGCCGCCCAGGGAAGGUGAAGUCCCCUGGGCUACGGGGCCAGGGAGUGACAAGGCCCUAGGGGACAGGGCGGACACUGGGGUCCCCGGGAGUUCUGGAGCUCCAGGUGGGAGCUGGGGAUCCUGCACUUCGCAGAAAACCUAAACCGAGCUCAGGGGGCCAAAAUUACCACCGUAUUUUUAUUAUUUUCUGAUGCUAAAUAAUAAAGAUAAAACCAAACCGCCCCCACUUACCACUCCACUCCCUGUGGGUCUGCUAAGAGGCAGUGUGCUGCUCCACGUCGCUGGUCCUGGGGAGCAGCCAUUCCUUUGAACCCCAGGCUGAAGGUGGUGGGUGGAAUUGAGGCUGCCCGGGAGGGUGUGGACUCGCAGAGAAACGGCACGCAGGUGGGAGGCAGAGGUCCAAUCAUUCAGUCAUCCUCGGCUUGGGUUUGGUUAUGAAAUGUGGUAUUUAUUAUCAUUAUUAAUUGCUACUGGCACCACUACAUAAAGCCUAAGGCUGCCAGUUGGGCUGAGGCCCUGUCCCUGGAUCCCUUCCCUUUCACCAAAGGGUGAUGGCAGGGAAGAUCCAGUUUCCUGAUCCUGGAUACUAAAAAGUGGGUUUGGGGAGUCAGGUGUGACUUUUUGAAGUUUUCUCCUCCCUUCAAGUAAAAGGAGUCCAUAUUGCAGACCAGCAUAAACCUUUUCGACCUCUGAAAUAGGAUAAGGAAGUGAUGGGUGGGGGCUGGUGGGGUAGCUGCAGAUGAGAUCCCUUGGCUUCCCUGCAGGGGGCUUUCCUAAGUCUUCUGCCUCCCCUAAUGUGUUCUCUAGCAGAUGUUGGGGGCAGGACUCUCAAUUCCAAAAGGCAGCCCAGGGUCUCCUGUCUGUCCCCUCACACUGGGUUGGGAAGUGGAAGAUGCCUUUCUUUUCUUGUUAGCCCUUCCAAAUAAGGUGAAUGCCAAAAAUCAUCCAUCCUAUCUAAUCCUUACCCCACCAGCCUCUGGGGAGGAGAAAAAUCAGAGCAUCAGAGGAAAAGGGAGUAUUUCUGCUCCCAAGAAGGUGAAAGAGAUGGAGAAAUUUCCAACCCACUAGAUAGGCAGGACCUAGGCUCUUCCUGGAUUUUGCUGGUAUCACAAGGUGUUCAGGCCAUGCCAGUUCUAGGGCCUGGGUCCAGAUAUCACUCUCCCUGGGCUGUCUCAGCCCAAAGACCUUCCUGACUGUUCUAUAGUUUGUUUUUGUUUUUGUUUUUGUUUUUUUUUUCAAAACCAAAAAGUGUGGGACAGGGAUUACUAAAAGGAAACAGGAAAAAGAAGGAAAUCAGCUUUUGGAGACUUGCUAAAUUACAAAUGCCCCUCUUUGAGACAAUCAAAAGG